RNAcentral lists this ribosomal RNA (456 nucleotides) under uncultured bacterium. RNAcentral describes it as "bacterial SSU rRNA". It matches the Rfam family "Bacterial small subunit ribosomal RNA", at positions 340 to 786 of the family's 1533-position model. The record is from RNAcentral.
UACGGGAGGCAGCAGUGGGGAAUAUUGCACAAUGGGCGAAAGCCUGAUGCAGCUAUGCCGCGUGUAUGAAGAAGGCCUUAGGGUUGUAAAGUACUUUCAUCGGGGAGGAAAAACAAAACUAAUAAUUUUAUUUCUUGACGUUACCCGAAAAAAAGCACCGGCUAACUCCGUGCCAGCAGCCGCGGUAAUACGGAGGGUGCUAGCGUUAAUCAGAAUUACUGGGCGUAAAAGAGCACGUAGGUGGUUUUUUUAAAGUCAGAUGUGAAAUCCCUGGGCUUAACCUAGGAACUGCAUUUUGAAACUGAAAUACUAGAGUAUCGUAGAGGGAGGUAGAAUUCUAGGUGUAGCGGUGAAAUGCGUAGAUAUCUGGAGGAAUACCUGUGGCGAAAGCGGCCUCCUAAACGAAUACUGACACUGAGGUGCGAAAGCGUGGGGAGCAAACAGGGAUUAGAUACC